GACGAACGCUGGCGGCGUGCUUAACACAUGCAAGUCGAACGGAAAGGCCCUGCUUUUGUGGGGUGCUCGAGUGGCGAACGGGUGAGUAACACGUGAGUAACCUGCCCUUGACUUUGGGAUAACUUCAGGAAACUGGGGUUAAUACCGGAUAGGAGCUCCUGCUGCAUGGUGGGGGUUGGAAAGUUUCGGCGGUUGGGGAUGGACUCGCGGCUUAUCAGCUUGUUGGUGGGGUAGUGGCUUACCAAGGCUUUGACGGGUAGCCGGCCUGAGAGGGUGACCGGCCACAUUGGGACUGAGAUACGGCCCAGACUCCUACGGGAGGCAGCAGUGGGGAAUAUUGCACAAUGGGCGGAAGCCUAAUGCAGCAACGCCGCGUGCGGGAUGACGGCCUUCGGGUUGUAAACCGCUUUCGCCUGUGACGAAGCGUGAGUGACGGUAAUGGGUAAAGAAGCACCGGCUAACUACGUG
This 468-nucleotide ribosomal RNA is filed under the name uncultured bacterium. RNAcentral describes it as "partial 16S ribosomal RNA". It matches the Rfam family "Bacterial small subunit ribosomal RNA", at positions 28 to 507 of the family's 1533-position model. The record is from RNAcentral.